AAACGACUCUCGGCAACGGAUAUCUUGGCUCACGCAUCGAUGAAGAACGUAGCAAAAUGCGAUACUUGGUGUGAAUUGCAGAAUCCCGUGAACCAUCGAGUUUUUGAACGCAAGUUGCGCCCGAAGCCAUUCGGCCGAGGGCACAUCUGCCUGGGCGUCACGUC
This 164-nucleotide ribosomal RNA is filed under the name Blumea megacephala. RNAcentral describes it as "5.8S ribosomal RNA". It matches the Rfam family "5.8S ribosomal RNA". From Rfam's summary of the family: 5.8S ribosomal RNA (5.8S rRNA) is a component of the large subunit of the eukaryotic ribosome. It is transcribed by RNA polymerase I as part of the 45S precursor that also contains 18S and 28S rRNA. Lineage: Eukaryota; Viridiplantae; Streptophyta; Magnoliopsida; Asterales; Asteraceae. The record is from RNAcentral.